ACUCCUACGGGAGGCAGCAGUGGGAAUCUUGCGCAAUGGGCGAAAGCCUGACGCAGCCAUGCCGCGUGAAUGAUGAAGGUCUUAGGAUUGUAAAAUUCUUUCACCGGGGACGAUAAUGACGGUACCCGGAGAAGAAGCCCGCCUGACUUCAGUGCCAGCCAGCCGCCGGGUAAUACGAAGGGGCGUAGCGUUGCUCGGAAUUACUGGGCGUAAAGGGAGCGUAGGCGGACAUUUAAGUCAGGGGUGAAAUCCCGGGGCUCAACCUCGGAAUUGCCUUUGAUACUGGGUGUCUUGAGUAUGAGAGAGGUGUGUGGAACUCCGAGUGUAGAGGUGAAAUUCGUAGAUAUUCGGAAGAACACCAGUGGCGAAGGCGACACACUGGCUCAUUACUGACGCUGAGGCUCGAAAGCGUGGGGAGCAAACAGGAUUAGAUACCCUGGUAGCUAC
RNAcentral lists this ribosomal RNA (447 nucleotides) under uncultured bacterium. RNAcentral's name for it is "bacterial SSU rRNA". It matches the Rfam family "Bacterial small subunit ribosomal RNA", at positions 335 to 798 of the family's 1533-position model. The record is from RNAcentral.